Carassius auratus (goldfish) is the source of this 1212-nucleotide long non-coding RNA. RefSeq lists it as uncharacterized. The record is from RefSeq and is a predicted model, not a curated record. Lineage: Eukaryota; Metazoa; Chordata; Actinopteri; Cypriniformes; Cyprinidae. The transcript has 4 exons.
UAUUACUAUUGAUAUAAUAUGUUGUAUAUGUAGCCUACAUUGCGUGUUUGCAUAAAAGAGCAGGUUAAUCCUUUUUUGAACAGGUUUGUUGAAAAAUCCUUCUCGAAAGAAUCGUAUUUCCAAAGUACUGUCAACUGACCACAUCUUCUUCCGCUUGUCAAAAUAGUUCUGCUCAGUUUGGUGUUUUAUUACGGAUUUAUUCUCAUAGUACCGUUUCAUAAUUUGAUAUAAUAAUAUAAUAAUAUGCUGAUAUUAAAAUUAAAAAAAAUAAAAAAUGUAAUAUUCGAACUGAAGGAAUUCCCGCCCUAGCGCAAGGACACAUUCUCCUCCAAGCACGCAGUGGAGCUGCUGCGCGCGCAGAAGGAAUAACUCGACCUUCAGUUUCACGGUCAAUCUUCAAUCUGAGGCGAAAAUAAGCAGAUAAGUUCAGUGAGUGCUAAAACCAUGGUCAACAUGAAAGGUCAUAGUUAACGACCACAUCACCAUCUUCUGCAACGCUCUGAUGUUUGCUUCAUACAACUGCUUGAACAUUUCAUACCCAGGAAACCAAGGAGAAACGCAAGAGAUUGUGCAAAGAUUCCUUUUUAAGAUGAACCCCGAGAAGGGAUCGAAAGUGGAGAAGACCACAUCGAGAAAGAAAUCAGCAGUCAGUCCAAAGGUUCUUUCACUGAUUAACAAGAUUGCGGACUUUGAAAGGAUGGAGUAAAACUUGGAGUGUCAGAUCUUCCUACAUUGCCUAGCAGAAAUUCUUGACAGUGUCAAAGACUUAAAAUACUUGCUGAUUAUUUGCUUUCAUGGUUGAUUUUUUUUUUUUUUAAUGCAUCAUCUGUUGUCAAGAUGAAUUAAUCUGUUCACAGGUGGUUCAGUUUUAAGGACAAAUUAAUUCUUAUUUUUUAUUUGUUUACCAAUUUGCUAUAUUGUUGCAGUUUUGAACAAUUCUUUUGUGUGUUGUUGCAGUUAUUAAAUAUAUAUAUAUAUAUAUAUAUUAUAUACUGUUGCAGUUAUGAAAAAAAACUGAAUUGUAUGUGGUUGCAGUUGUGAUCUAAUUUAAACUUUUGGGCUUAUUUUUUUAUUGGAAUAUUGUUGCAGUUUAGCUAUAAUCUCUAUACUGGUAUAUUGUUGCAGUUUUGUACAAAGAAUAUUAGUAAAUUGCAGUCCUGAACAAACUAUUUGUAUAUUCUUGCAGAUUGGUCAAUAAAUUAUUAAAACACA